Stomoxys calcitrans (stable fly) is the source of this 408-nucleotide long non-coding RNA. RefSeq lists it as uncharacterized. Lineage: Eukaryota; Metazoa; Arthropoda; Insecta; Diptera; Muscidae. The transcript has 2 exons. The record is from RefSeq and is a predicted model, not a curated record.
AGGCCUUGAACUUGAUGGGAACAUUAGCCUCUUUUAUGGGGCCAUGAAAACAAAAAUAUAGAAUUUUCGACCAGGGGAGAUGCUUGGCCACUGUAAGGGAGCCAUGUCGGAUAAGAACUGCUUUCUUUUGAGGCUUAAGAAGUCAAACCGGAAGAUCCGUUUAGAUGGGAGCAACAUCUCAACAUGGAACGAUUUGGUCAAUUUACAGUCACAACCAACCUACAUAAAUAAGAAAAUAUACUUUCGCCAGACGGACAAAGGGACGAAUAUGGCUAGAGUGACUAAAAAUGUAUUGGUGCCCAAAGAUAUAUUCUAAGGUUCAGGUGUUACAAAUGGAAAGACACAUUAAGUAUACACUCGUCCUAUGGUGUAGGAUAUAAAAAUAGGAUAUUUUUGUGAAAUAAGAAA